Molecule: long non-coding RNA, 475 nt
Organism: Neofelis nebulosa (Clouded leopard)
Lineage: Eukaryota; Metazoa; Chordata; Mammalia; Carnivora; Felidae
Exons: 4
Source: RefSeq, a predicted model, not a curated record
GGGCGGGGAGAGUGCUGCUAACUGCUUUAUUCGGUUUCAUCUUCACGGUGACGCCAGCAGUCCCCCUCACCUGGGGCGCACAGGGUCACACAGUUGCCGUGCCCUUGGAAAGGCUGCCCUGAGGCCCAGUAUUGAAAAUUCCAGCAGCUCCCAUCGGUCCAUCGAAACCUCCGGCACAUGAACUAAAGUGAUAGACUGGGACCAUGGACAAUGCCAAAGGCCCUACUUGAACCUUCCUAGAGCCAUCUGGAGCUAAUCCUGGAUCUCCUUGGUGUUGGCACCCAGCCCAAGGCUGAACCCGGAAUAGCGUUCCAGAGUUCCACCAUCUUUGAAUUCAGCAGACUGUCAUAGAACGGCAGCUACAAUGGACCUCGGUUUGAUUUCCAUCUUUCUCAACUAACUGUGCGAACUUGAGCAAGUGGCUUCUCCAAUCUGGGCCACACUCAAAAAACUAAAGCUCUUGAUUCACCUCUAA